This 927-nucleotide ribosomal RNA is filed under the name uncultured bacterium. Its description in RNAcentral is "bacterial SSU rRNA". It matches the Rfam family "Bacterial small subunit ribosomal RNA", at positions 33 to 948 of the family's 1533-position model. The record is from RNAcentral.
ACGCUGGCGGCAUGCUUUACACAUGCAAGUCGGACGGCAGCACAGAGAAGCUUGCUUCUUGGGUGGCGAGUGGCGAACGGGUGAGUAAUAUAUCGGAACGUACCGAGUAAUGGGGGAUAACUAAUCGAAAGAUUAGCUAAUACCGCAUAUUCUCUGAGGAGGAAAGCAGGGGACCUUCGGGCCUUGCGUUAUUCGAGCGGCCGAUAUCUGAUUAGCUAGUUGGUGGGGUAAAGGCCUACCAAGGCGACGAUCAGUAGCGGGUCUGAGAGGAUGAUCCGCCACACUGGGACUGAGACACGGCCCAGACUCCUACGGGAGGCAGCAGUGGGGAAUUUUGGACAAUGGGCGCAAGCCUGAUCCAGCCAUGCCGCGUGUCUGAAGAAGGCCUUCGGGGUGUAAAGGACUUUUGUCAGGGAAGAAAAGGCUGUUGCUAAUACCGACAGCUGAUGACGGUACCUGAAGAAUAAGCACCGGCUAACUACGUGCCAGCAGCCGCGGUAAUACGUAGGGUGCGAGCGUUAAUCGGAAUUACUGGGCGUAAAGCGAGCGCAGACGGUUACUUAAGCAGGAUGUGAAAUCCCCGGGCUCAACCUGGGAACUGCGUUCUGAACUGGGUGACUAGAGUGUGUCAGAGGGAGGUAGAAUUCCACGUGUAGCAGUGAAAUGCGUAGAGAUGUGGAGGAAUACCGAUGGCGAAGGCAGCCUCCUGGGAUAACACUGACGUUCAUGCUCGAAAGCGUGGGUAGCAAACAGGAUUAGAUACCCUGGUAGUCCACGCCCUAAACGAUGUCAAUUAGCUGUUGGGCAACUUGAUUGCUUAGUAGCGUAGCUAACGCGUGAAAUUGACCGCCUGGGGAGUACGGUCGCAAGAUUAAAACUCAAAGGAAUUGACGGGGACCCGCACAAGCGGUGGAAUGAUGUGGAUUA